Molecule: transfer RNA, 87 nt
Filed under: Lentzea sp. NBRC 102530
Lineage: Bacteria; Bacillati; Actinomycetota; Actinomycetes; Pseudonocardiales; Pseudonocardiaceae
Description: tRNA-Ser
Rfam family: tRNA
About the family: Transfer RNA (tRNA) molecules are approximately 80 nucleotides in length. Their secondary structure includes four short double-helical elements and three loops (D, anti-codon, and T loops).
Source: RNAcentral
GGAAGGUAUCGCCCAGUGGUGGGCAACCCGGCUCGAAAUCGGGCACGACAGGCUCAGGCCUGGGGGUUCGACUCCUCUACCUUCCUC